Molecule: long non-coding RNA, 381 nt
Organism: Balaenoptera acutorostrata (minke whale)
Lineage: Eukaryota; Metazoa; Chordata; Mammalia; Artiodactyla; Balaenopteridae
Exons: 3
Source: RefSeq, a predicted model, not a curated record
GGUCAGCUCACACGUGGUCUGCAGUGUUCAGCUUUCGAUGGAAAUGUGGCUGGUCUCUCCGGAGGUUGGGAGGAGCUGGACAAAAGUUUGUAUUACAGGCUCGUAGCACUGGAGGUUUCUGCCGGAGCAGACAACUGGAGGAAGGCCGGCCCUGCUGAACACAGUGGACUGAUCGGGUCUGGACCCCUCCUCCACAGGUGAGGACUUCAUCUCGGACAAGCAUCACUAUAUGGAUUGGCAUAUGAGAGGAAAAACUAUGCUGAGGUAAAAAGAGUAUGAGUUUCGGAAUUAGCCCCAAAUUCAAAUAUAGCUGUAUUAUCGUUAUCAAAUCAUUUAAACCAGAAGUUGGCAAACUUUUUUUGUAAAGAGCAAGAUAGUAAA